RNAcentral lists this long non-coding RNA (225 nucleotides) under Mytilus galloprovincialis (Mediterranean mussel). The record is from RNAcentral. Lineage: Eukaryota; Metazoa; Mollusca; Bivalvia; Mytilida; Mytilidae.
AGAAGGAGAAUAACGGAGUCACCCGAGGAUUGCCGAUUGAUGAAAGUGUAUGAUUGCUCAUGAACCAUGCCAUUUGUUAUGGGAAAUAAGUUAGUUCUUACUUACGGAAAGAGCAUAUUCAUAACAUCAAAAAGGAGAACCUGCAAAGAAACAGAUUCUGAGGACUUCGAUAUAUAUAAAGGAAAUAAAUUACAACCAUGAUUAUUUUAGUGUUUGCUUCGCCGG